UGCCUACGGGGCGCAGCAGUGAGGAAUAUUGGUCAAUGGGCGGGAGCCUGAACCAGCCAAGUCGCGUGAGGGACGACGGUCCUAUGGAUUGUAAACCUCUUUUGUCGGGGAACAAAGGCGCCCACGGGUGGGCGGAUGAGUGUACCCGAAGAAAAAGCAUCGGCUAACUCCGUGCCAGCAGCCGCGGUAAUACGGAGGAUGCGAGCGUUAUCCGGAUUUAUUGGGUUUAAAGGGUGCGCAGGCGGAUUUUUAAGUCAGCGGUCAAAUCGUGGGGCUCAACCCCAUCCAGCCGUUGAAACUGGGGA
This 305-nucleotide ribosomal RNA is filed under the name uncultured bacterium. Its description in RNAcentral is "bacterial SSU rRNA". It matches the Rfam family "Bacterial small subunit ribosomal RNA", at positions 335 to 639 of the family's 1533-position model. The record is from RNAcentral.